RNAcentral lists this ribosomal RNA (1576 nucleotides) under Salmonella enterica subsp. enterica serovar Eastbourne. Its description in RNAcentral is "bacterial LSU rRNA". It matches the Rfam family "Bacterial large subunit ribosomal RNA", at positions 1253 to 2812 of the family's 2925-position model. The record is from RNAcentral. Lineage: Bacteria; Pseudomonadati; Pseudomonadota; Gammaproteobacteria; Enterobacterales; Enterobacteriaceae.
AAGGUGGCCUGUGAGGGUUGCUGGAGGUAUCAGAAGUGCGAAUGCUGACAUAAGUAACGAUAAAGCGGGUGAAAAGCCCGCUCGCCGGAAGACCAAGGGUUCCUGUCCAACGUUAAUCGGGGCAGGGUGAGUCGACCCCUAAGGCGAGGCCGAAAGGCGUAGUCGAUGGGAAACGGGUUAAUAUUCCCGUACUUGGUGUUACUGCGAAGGGGGGACGGAGAAGGCUAUGUUGGCCGGGCGACGGUUGUCCCGGUUUAAGCGUGUAGGUGUGUGUUCCAGGUAAAUCCGGUUCACUUUAACACUGAGGCGUGAUGACGAGGCACUACGGUGCUGAAGCAACAAAUGCCCUGCUUCCAGGAAAAGCCUCUAAGCAUCAGGUAACAUCAAAUCGUACCCCAAACCGACACAGGUGGUCAGGUAGAGAAUACCAAGGCGCUUGAGAGAACUCGGGUGAAGGAACUAGGCAAAAUGGUGCCGUAACUUCGGGAGAAGGCACGCUGACAUGUAGGUGAAGUGAUUUACUCAUGGAGCUGAAGUCAGUCGAAGAUACCAGCUGGCUGCAACUGUUUAUUAAAAACACAGCACUGUGCAAACACGAAAGUGGACGUAUACGGUGUGACGCCUGCCCGGUGCCGGAAGGUUAAUUGAUGGGGUCAGCGCAAGCGAAGCUCCUGAUCGAAGCCCCGGUAAACGGCGGCCGUAACUAUAACGGUCCUAAGGUAGCGAAAUUCCUUGUCGGGUAAGUUCCGACCUGCACGAAUGGCGUAAUGAUGGCCAGGCUGUCUCCACCCGAGACUCAGUGAAAUUGAACUCGCUGUGAAGAUGCAGUGUACCCGCGGCAAGACGGAAAGACCCCGUGAACCUUUACUAUAGCUUGACACUGAACAUUGAGCCUUGAUGUGUAGGAUAGGUGGGAGGCUUUGAAGUGUGGACGCCAGUCUGCAUGGAGCCGGCCUUGAAAUACCACCCUUUAAUGUUUGAUGUUCUAACGUGGACCCGUGAUCCGGGUUGCGGACAGUGUCUGGUGGGUAGUUUGACUGGGGCGGUCUCCUCCUAAAGAGUAACGGAGGAGCACGAAGGUUGGCUAAUCCUGGUCGGACAUCAGGAGGUUAGUGCAAUGGCAUAAGCCAGCUUGACUGCGAGCGUGACGGCGCGAGCAGGUGCGAAAGCAGGUCAUAGUGAUCCGGUGGUUCUGAAUGGAAGGGCCAUCGCUCAACGGAUAAAAGGUACUCCGGGGAUAACAGGCUGAUACCGCCCAAGAGUUCAUAUCGACGGCGGUGUUUGGCACCUCGAUGUCGGCUCAUCACAUCCUGGGGCUGAAGUAGGUCCCAAGGGUAUGGCUGUUCGCCAUUUAAAGUGGUACGCGAGCUGGGUUUAGAACGUCGUGAGACAGUUCGGUCCCUAUCUGCCGUGGGCGCUGGAGAACUGAGGGGGGCUGCUCCUAGUACGAGAGGACCGGAGUGGACGCAUCACUGGUGUUCGGGUUGUCAUGCCAAUGGCACUGCCCGGUAGCUAAAUGCGGAAGAGAUAAGUGCUGAAAGCAUCUAAGCACGAAACUUGCCCCGAGAUGAGUUCU